This is a ribosomal RNA of 566 nucleotides. The stretch from base 195 to 348 matches the Rfam family "5.8S ribosomal RNA".
GGGAAGUAAAAAAUCGUAACAAGGUUUCCGUAGGUGAACCUGCGGAAGGAUCAUUACCUAGAGUUGUAGGCUUUGCCUACCAUCUCUUACCCAUGUCUUUUGAGUACUUACGUUUCCUCGGUGGGUUCGCCCGCCGAUUGGACAAUUUAAACCAUUUGCAGUUGCAAUCAGCGUCUGAAAAACAUAAUAGUUACAACUUUCAACAACGGAUCUCUUGGUUCUGGCAUCGAUGAAGAACGCAGCGAAAUGCGAUAAGUAGUGUGAAUUGCAGAAUUCAGUGAAUCAUCGAAUCUUUGAACGCACAUUGCGCCCCUUGGUAUUCCAUGGGGCAUGCCUGUUCGAGCGUCAUUUGUACCUUCAAGCUUUGCUUGGUGUUGGGUGUUUGUCUCGCCUUUGCGUGUAGACUCGCCUUAAAACAAUUGGCAGCCGGCGUAUUGAUUUCGGAGCGCAGUACAUCUCGCGCUUUGCACUCAUAACGACGACGUCCAAAAGUACAUUUUUACACUCUUGACCUCGGAUCAGGUAGGGAUACCCGCUGAACUUAAGCAUAUCAAAAGGCCGGAGGA